This 253-nucleotide ribosomal RNA is filed under the name uncultured bacterium. RNAcentral describes it as "partial 16S ribosomal RNA". It matches the Rfam family "Bacterial small subunit ribosomal RNA", at positions 524 to 776 of the family's 1533-position model. The record is from RNAcentral.
UACAUAGGGGGCUAGCGUUGUCCGGAAUCAUUGGGCGUAAAGCGCGUGUAGGCGGCCCAGUAAGUCCGCUCUGAAAGCCCGAGGCUCAACCUCGGGAGGCGGGUGGAUACUGCUGGGCUCGAGUACGGAAGAGGCGAGUGGAAUUCCUGGUGUAGCGGUGAAAUGCGCAGAUAUCAGGAGGAACACCUAUUGCGAAGGCAGCUCGCUGGGACGUAACUGACGCUGAGGAGCGAAAGCGUGGGGAGCGAACAGG